This is a long non-coding RNA of Carassius carassius (crucian carp), 309 nucleotides long. RefSeq lists it as uncharacterized. Lineage: Eukaryota; Metazoa; Chordata; Actinopteri; Cypriniformes; Cyprinidae. The transcript is spliced from 3 exons. The record is from RefSeq and is a predicted model, not a curated record.
AUUAUUAGUAGUAGUAGUAGUAGUAGUAUAGUGUUUGUUAUUAUUCUAAAUGUUUCUUAAUGUGGAUUAUGUUUUCAUCAGAGCCUUUGAGAAACUUUGAGAAUUUAUACCAUGCUAAUAAUUUAUUCUCUUCUCUCUUUAUUUUCUCAGUGUCGAUUUCCAUCUGAUUGUUCAGCUACAUACACCCCAAAGGCUCUUUUAAGAGCCACACCACGAGAGCGUCUUUGGCUUUUUUUUGCAUCAUCUUCCACUGUCUCCCCACCUCCUUCACAUUUUUGUCUUGCCACAGUCAGGGUAAGUAAUAUUCUU